RNAcentral lists this ribosomal RNA (408 nucleotides) under uncultured bacterium. RNAcentral describes it as "partial 16S ribosomal RNA". It matches the Rfam family "Bacterial small subunit ribosomal RNA", at positions 355 to 755 of the family's 1533-position model. The record is from RNAcentral.
UGGGGAAUAUUGCACAAUGGGCGCAAGCCUGAUGCAGCCAUGCCGCGUGUAUGAAGAAGGCCUUCGGGUUGUAAAGUACUUUCAGCGGGGAGGAAGGGAGUAAAGUUAAUACCUUUGCUCAUUGACGUUACCCGCAGAAGAAGCACCGGCUAACUCCGUGCCAGCAGCCGCGGUAAUACGGAGGGUGCAAGCGUUAAUCGGAAUUACUGGGCGUAAAGCGCACGCAGGCGGUUUGUUAAGUCAGAUGUGAAAUCCCCGGGCUCAACCUGGGAACUGCAUCUGAUACUGGCAAGCUUGAGUCUCGUAGAGGGGGGUAGAAUUCCAGGUGUAGCGGUGAAAUGCGUAGAGAUCUGGAGGAAUACCGGUGGCGAAGGCGGUCCCCUGGACGAAGACUGACGCUCAGGUGCG